GCAUUAAUGGGGUAGUGGUAACCUGGGUCGUUGCCAUCCGAGUAUUGACUCGACCCGCCGGGGGUUCGAUUCCCUCUUAAUGCA
Molecule: transfer RNA, 84 nt
Filed under: Ephemerocybe angulata
Lineage: Eukaryota; Fungi; Basidiomycota; Agaricomycetes; Agaricales; Psathyrellaceae
Also listed under: 1 other name
Description: Coprinellus angulatus tRNA
Rfam family: tRNA
About the family: Transfer RNA (tRNA) molecules are approximately 80 nucleotides in length. Their secondary structure includes four short double-helical elements and three loops (D, anti-codon, and T loops).
Source: Rfam by way of RNAcentral